UACGAGAGGCCCAAACGUUAUUCGGAUUUACUGGGCUUAAAGGGUGCGUAGGCGGCUUUGUAAGUCAGUGGUGAAAUAUGGCAGCUCAACUGUCAGGGUGCCAUUGAUACUGCGGAGCUUGAGUACAGAUGAGGUAGGCGGAAUUGACGGUGUAGCGGUGAAAUGCUUAGAUAUCGUCAAGAACACCGAUAGCGAAGGCAGCUUACUGGGCUGUAACUGACGCUGAGGCACGAAAGUGUGGGGAUCAAACAGG
RNAcentral lists this ribosomal RNA (253 nucleotides) under uncultured bacterium. Its description in RNAcentral is "partial 16S ribosomal RNA". It matches the Rfam family "Bacterial small subunit ribosomal RNA", at positions 524 to 776 of the family's 1533-position model. The record is from RNAcentral.